Long non-coding RNA from Spea bombifrons (plains spadefoot toad), 110 nucleotides. RefSeq lists it as uncharacterized. NCBI's taxonomy places the organism in Eukaryota, Metazoa, Chordata, Amphibia, Anura, Pelobatidae. The transcript is spliced from 2 exons. The record is from RefSeq and is a predicted model, not a curated record.
UGGUAGUAAUUUCAGGUUGGUUUUCGAUUACAGUUCAGACAACCUUUCUGUCUCUUCUGGUUUUAAUUAAUAUUUAUUAAAGAUUGUUUAUCAUUAAAUGAAAGAAAACC